RNAcentral lists this non-coding RNA (168 nucleotides) under Oryzias latipes (Japanese medaka). RNAcentral's name for it is "Eukaryotic large subunit ribosomal RNA". It matches the Rfam family "Eukaryotic large subunit ribosomal RNA", at positions 2774 to 2984 of the family's 3401-position model. The record is from Rfam by way of RNAcentral. Lineage: Eukaryota; Metazoa; Chordata; Actinopteri; Beloniformes; Adrianichthyidae.
CUUUUUGGGUUUUCAGCAGGUGUCAGAAAAGUUACCACAGGGAUGGCUGGCUUGAGGCGGCCAAACGCUCGUAGGGUUAUUGCUUUUUUCAUUUUGAAGCAGAAUUCACCAAGUAUUGGAUGUUCACCCACUAAUAGGGAACGUGAGCUGGGCUUAGACCAUUGGGUU